GAUGAACGCUGGCGGCGUGCCUAAUACAUGCAAGUAGAACGCUGAAGGAGGAGCUUGCUCUUCUGGAUGAGUUGGGAACGGGUGAGUAACGCGUAGGUAACCUGCCUGGUAGCGGGGGAUAACUAUUGGAAACGAUAGCUAAUACCGCAUGACAACAGUUAUUGCAUGAUAACUGUUUAAAAGGGGCAACUGCUCCACUACCAGAUGGACCUGCGUUGUAUUAGCUAGUUGGUGAGGUAACGGCUCACCAAGGCGACGAUACAUAGCCGACCUGUGAGGGUGAUCGGCCACACUGGGACUGAGACACGGCCCAGACUGCUACGGGAGGCAGCAGUAGGGAAUCUUCGGCAAUGGACGGAAGACUGACCGAGCAACGCCGCGUGAGUGAAGAAGGUUUUCGGAUCGUAAAGCUCUGUUGUAAGAGAAGAACGAGUGUGAGAGUGGAAAGUUCACACUGUGACGGUAUCUUACCAGAAAGGGACGGCUAACUACGUG
This 495-nucleotide ribosomal RNA is filed under the name uncultured bacterium. RNAcentral's name for it is "partial 16S ribosomal RNA". It matches the Rfam family "Bacterial small subunit ribosomal RNA", at positions 28 to 507 of the family's 1533-position model. The record is from RNAcentral.